CAGUAGCCGCGGGAAUACGAAGGGGGCUAGCGUUGUUCGGAUUUACCGGGCGUAAAGGGCGUGUAGGCGGGCUGAUCAGUCAGGGGUGAAAUCCCAAGGCUCAACCUUGGAACUGCCUUUGAUACUGUCGGUCUUGAGUUCGAGAGAGGUAAGUGGAACUGCGAGUGUAGAGGUGAAAUUCGUAGAUAUUCGCAAGAACACCAGUGGCGAAGGCGGCUCACUGGCUCGAAACUGACGCUGAGGCACGAAAGCGUGGGGAGCAAACAGGAUUAGAUACCCGGGUAGUCCUGUCUCUUAUACC
Molecule: ribosomal RNA, 301 nt
Filed under: uncultured bacterium
Lineage: Bacteria
Description: partial 16S ribosomal RNA
Rfam family: Bacterial small subunit ribosomal RNA
Source: RNAcentral